AGGGGGCAAGCGUUGUCCGGAAUUAUUGGGCGUAAAGAGCGUGUAGGCGGGUCGGUAAGUCUGUCGGGAAAACCUGGGGCUCAACCCCAGGCGUGCGGUGGAUACUGCCGUGCUUGAGGACUGGAGAGGAGACUGGAAUUUACGGUGUAGCGGUGAAAUGCGUAGAUAUCGUAAGGAAGACCAGUGGCGAAGGCGGGUCUCUGGGCCGAUACUGACGCUGAGGAGCGAAAGCGUGGGGAGCGAACAGG
This 248-nucleotide ribosomal RNA is filed under the name uncultured bacterium. RNAcentral describes it as "partial 16S ribosomal RNA". It matches the Rfam family "Bacterial small subunit ribosomal RNA", at positions 529 to 776 of the family's 1533-position model. The record is from RNAcentral.